Molecule: RNA transcript, 2090 nt
Organism: Spinacia oleracea (spinach)
Lineage: Eukaryota; Viridiplantae; Streptophyta; Magnoliopsida; Caryophyllales; Amaranthaceae
Gene name: F-box/LRR-repeat protein At4g14103
Exons: 5
Source: RefSeq, a predicted model, not a curated record
ACUCUAUUCGACUAAACAAGUUUAACUGACCGUGAACCCUACUCCGAAUUUGAGAACACUCACCUUCUCACUCCCACUCUCAGAGACUCUAUUUACUUUCUCCGGCAAAAUUCCAAAUAUCACAAAUCACCCUCAAACUUCAUCAAUUACUCAGUCUUUUAUGCAGGAAGUUGAUAUGAAAAGGGAAAAGCAAGUAGAACAAUUGGACAUCAUUAGUAAUUUACCUGACCAUAUAAUUGCACACAUAAUUUCAUUUCUUCCUACAGAAGAGGCAAUUAGAACGAGCAUUUUGUCUUCGAAGUGGAAAUAUCUUUGGAAAGGCAUUAGUAGUGUUAGCUUACAGGGUACUCAAUCUGAUCCUGAUAGAUUUGCAAACCUUGUGGAGCAUGUACUUAACAAUUGUAAAUCCACAAACUUCCUUUCAAUUAAUCUUUCUUGUCCGGAUAAUAUAGGCUUAUCGCGUAUAAAUGCGUGGAUUUCCACCGCUCUUAGCUGUAAAAUCGAAAAGCUACUCCUCUACUUCCGUAAGUAUUUUCCAGAUAGAUCAGAACCUCCCCUGCCAAAAUGCGUUCUUGAUUGCAGCACGUUAAUAGUGCUUAAGCUUGAUUCAUAUUUUGAUCUUUGCAUACCUGAGUCAAUAGUUUGUUUUCCUCAUCUCAAGUUACUUGAUUUCAACGUCAUACUCCCUGAUCAGGAUAGGGUUAUGCAUCAGCUUUUGUCUUCCUGUCCAGUGUUGGAAGAACUGUCCGUGUCUUGCCUCCUAGAUUUUUGUAAAGUUCGAAAAAUUAAUAUAUGCAUUCCCACUCUUAAAAAACUAAGGCUGUGUCUAGAGUAUAGUAAAGAAGGUGAGUAUGAUGUUCUCAUCGAUACACCCAAUCUCGAAUAUCUAUACAUAGAGGAUGACUCGUUGUCUCGAUAUGUGAUGAAAAAUCUAUCACGUCUCCAUCAUGUUGAGAUCACGUAUGAUGUCAUAUGUGUUGAAUCUGUAGAGACUAAGCAUAAAAAUAGCAUUCUUCAGCUUUUAAACGGAAUUGCUGCUACUGAUGUGAUGACAUUGCAUCACCCCACUUCAUCCGUUCUCGGAUCAGCUUGCAGCCAUACCUGGCCCACAUUUUCAAAUUUGAGGAUGUUAGAAAUUAAUUUAACUGAUGAGACGGGUUGGACCUGUUUCCCAAGAGUGCUCCAUUCAACACCCAAUUUGCUAGUUCUUAUUCUGGAUUUGGGAAGGAUGAAUACAACGUACCCUUAUGACCGUAACCCAUGCACAUGGGCUCCACUAGAUAGUGUCCCUAUUUGUUUGUUAGAAAACCUCAAGGUAAUUGGAGUUAAAUGGUUUGCAGGAUUCGAAGACGAAGUAGAAGCAGUAGAGUACUUACUAAAAAAUGCUAAAGUGUUGGAACGUAUGAUGAUUAAUUCUUAUCCACUUGACGAUGAAGUGGUGGACAAGCUAUUGAUGUGUCCAACAGCUUCCGAGAUUUGUGAUGUUCAAUUCUAUGAUAAUAUCUUCUUUCAGAUUUCGCCAAUUAAGAUCAGCGUAUGGGGUAUUUAAGCUCCAUUUUUAUUAUGGUGUUAUUUUUAACCUGCAAUGGUUGGUUGACCCGAAAGGGUUGGGUAAAAUCGCUGCUACCUGAAAUUUGCUAGACAACACAUUUGGUGAAUUUGAGAGCGCUUGCAGAAAAUUUCACAACUUCUCUACCAACUUACUUUGGAGGAUGCAUGAAUGGCAAUACUUUUUGAAUCCCGUGAACGAGAACUCUGUAUAGGCUCGGCCAACGAAGAGGAAAUGCAUCUUCAUGGACAUAUCCUUCCUUGGUCUCUACCUUUCCCUCAUCAUCAGCAUCGCAACAUCUUCUGCUUUUAUCAUCUCAAUUUUAUUCCUGGAAGGUUUUAUGUGAUCCUCACUGAAGGGAAAUGCAUCGGUCCCAUAAUCGAAUUACUUAUUAAACGAAGAUGACUUCAACUUAUGUCUCGAUCGAAUGAUCCAUUUGCCACCCAACAAUAAUUUUGUUGGACUAAUGAGAUUUUGGCAUAUUAGUUAAAGACCGAAAGUCUGUAUAUGUUAUGUCACACGUUCGAAAAUUACUAACCGU